UACGGGGGGGGCAAGCGUUGUUCGGAAUUACUGGGCGUAAAGGGCUCGUAGGUGGCCAACUAAGUCGAACGUGAAAUCCCCGGGCUCAACCCGGGAACUGCGUCCGAUACUGGAAGGCUUGAAUCCGGGAGAGGGAUGCGGAAUUCCAGGUGUAGCGGUGAAAUGCGUAGAUAUCUGGAGGAACACCGGUGGCGAAGGCGGCAUCCUGGACCGGCAUUGACGCUGAGGCGCGAAAGCCAGGGGAGCAAACGGG
Molecule: ribosomal RNA, 253 nt
Filed under: uncultured bacterium
Lineage: Bacteria
Description: partial 16S ribosomal RNA
Rfam family: Bacterial small subunit ribosomal RNA
Source: RNAcentral